RNAcentral lists this ribosomal RNA (497 nucleotides) under uncultured bacterium. RNAcentral's name for it is "partial 16S ribosomal RNA". It matches the Rfam family "Bacterial small subunit ribosomal RNA", at positions 28 to 507 of the family's 1533-position model. The record is from RNAcentral.
GACGAACGCUGGCGGCGUGCCUAAUACAUGCAAGUUGAGCGAUGAAGAUUGGUGCUUGCACCAAUUUGAAGAGCAGCGAGCGGGUGAGUAACGCGUGGGGAAUCUGCCUUUGAGCGGGGGACAACAUUUGGAAACGAAUGCUAAUACCGCAUAACAACUUUAAACAUAAGUUUUAAGUUUGAAAGAUGCAAUUGCAUCACUCAAAGAUGAUCCCGCGUUGUAUUAGCUAGUUGGUGAGGUAAAGGCUCACCAAGGCGAUGAUACAUAGCCGACCUGAGAGGGUGAUCGGCCACAUUGGGACUGAGACACGGCCCAAACUCCUACGGGAGGCAGCAGUAGGGAAUCUUCGGCAAUGGACGAAAGUCUGACCGAGCAACGCCGCGUGAGUGAAGAAGGUUUUCGGAUCGUAAAACUCUGUUGGUAGAGAAGAACGUUGGUGAGAGUGGAGAGCUCAUCAAGUGACGGUAACUACCCAGAAAGGGACGGCUAACUACGUG